RNAcentral lists this transfer RNA (363 nucleotides) under uncultured Microcystis sp. Its description in RNAcentral is "partial 16S-23S ribosomal RNA intergenic spacer". The stretch from base 134 to 207 matches the Rfam family "tRNA". The record is from RNAcentral. Lineage: Bacteria; Bacillati; Cyanobacteriota; Cyanophyceae; Chroococcales; Microcystaceae.
AAAGGGAGACCUAAUUCAGGUAUGGGACGAAAAAAAAGUAGUCGCUACCAAGAAUCAAUCCCAAAAGGUCGGAGCGAGGCAUAAGGCUUUCAAACUAGGUUCUGGGUUCACACAAGACCUGAAUCAGGAACAAGGGCUAUUAGCUCAGGUGGUUAGAGCGCACCCCUGAUAAGGGUGAGGUCCCUGGUUCGAGUCCAGGAUGGCCCACCUGUACAGGUGGCAAAAAGAAAGAAAAGAAGCGAGGAGUCAGCACCUUAUCUUACUUAUAUAGUAGGAGAGAAUGCUGGCUCUGAGUACAGAGUCCAGAGGAACCUUGAAAACUGCAUAGAGCUAGGUGAAAAAGCCAAAAAAGAAGACCGCAAG